This is a long non-coding RNA of Bos taurus (domestic cattle), 930 nucleotides long. NCBI's taxonomy places the organism in Eukaryota, Metazoa, Chordata, Mammalia, Artiodactyla, Bovidae. The record is from Ensembl.
UUUUAAGGGAAAAUCUCAGGUUUUGGGGAGUGAACAUGGCAGCCAGUAGGUAUGGCCUGGCAAGGAGUCACUCUGUGCCCAGGUUGCAGGCUGGAGGCCUGCAGAGGCCUUCGCUCUGUGCCUCAUCUCCUUCUGGCCCCGCCUGGCCACGUGCCGGCUUCCCUCCCCUUUUCCCCCGCUCUCUGUCUGUGCCCCAGACACUGGGGUUUCAGUUCAGAAUACCUGCACAUUAAGACCCUUUGCUCCUCCCCACAGAGCUGGGGAUGCCUCUGGGGCCUCACCCUCUGGAGAGUGUCUGAGUCUGGUGGUUUUUCACUAUGAAGUUCCCUUUUUGUUUUUUUUCCUCUCCUUUUUCCCCUCUGGAACCACCCCUGCCUUUUGGCCACAGGAGCGUGUGUUGAGAAAGGAUGAUAAGCUUGGCUUCUGCUCACUUUAGCUGAAAGGAUAUGGAUUUGGGUUCAGGCCUUCACACUUUGGGUGAGAGGUGGGAGGGCUUUGAGGUCAGCUGCCCCUUCGGUCCCAGCCUAAUCCCCUCACAAAUGACCUGAGAUUGCGCUGGGUUAUGUUCUCCAACCACCUGCUGUACCUUUUCUCUGUGAUUUGGAAGCUUGAGAAGAUAUGAGUGGCCCAGAGAGCGAGUGGGUGCCAGGCCAGAUCCUCUCCUAGCCCCCAAGGGGAGGCAGAGUGGAGUUCCCUUUCCGGGGUGGAGCACACAGAGUGGAGAAAGGAGUUCUCUAAGAGUGACAAGACACCAAGAGUGUGAUGGUUCUUUUGUCAUUCUUACUGAGGAACACUGUUACCAAACCUGUGGGUAGUAUCAAGUUCCAGAAAUGUGGAGGAAACAAGUACUUACUGGGACCAGUGUGAAUGCUUGGUCUGUAUGAAAAUGACCAGGAAAACUAUUAUACGAAGGUUAUUUAAUGAUCUGUG